GGAGGUUGUGCCCUUGAGGCGUGGCUUCCGGAGCUAACGCGUUAAAUCGACCGCCUGGGGAGUACGGCCGCAAGGUUAAAACUCAAAUGAAUUGACGGGGGCCCGCACAAGCGGUGGAGCAUGUGGUUUAAUUCGAUGCAACGCGAAGAACCUUACCUACUCUUGACAUCCAGAGAACUUAGCAGAGAUGCUUUGGUGCCUUCGGGAACUCUGAGACAGGUGCUGCAUGGCUGUCGUCAGCUCGUGUUGUGAAAUGUUGGGUUAAGUCCCGCAACGAGCGCAACCCUUAUCCUUUGUUGCCAGCGGUUCGGCCGGGAACUCAAAGGAGACUGCCAGUGAUAAACUGGAGGAAGGUGGGGAUGACGUCAAGUCAUCAUGGCCCUUACGAGUAGGGCUACACACGUGCUACAAUGGCAUAUACAAAGAGAAGCGACCUCGCGAGAGCAAGCGGACCUCAUAAAGUAUGUCGUAGUCCGGAUUGGAGUCUGCAACUCGACUCCAUGAAGUCGGAAUCGCUAGUAAUCGUAGAUCAGAAUGCUACGGUGAAUACGUUCCCGGGCCUUGUACACACCGCCCGUCACACCAUGGGAGUGGGUUGCAAAAGAAGUAGGUAGCUUAACCUUCGGGAGGGCGCUUACCACUUUGUGAUUCAUGACUGGGGUGAAGUCGUAACAAGGUACCAAGGGCGAA
RNAcentral lists this ribosomal RNA (690 nucleotides) under uncultured Serratia sp. Its description in RNAcentral is "bacterial SSU rRNA". It matches the Rfam family "Bacterial small subunit ribosomal RNA", at positions 819 to 1509 of the family's 1533-position model. Lineage: Bacteria; Pseudomonadati; Pseudomonadota; Gammaproteobacteria; Enterobacterales; Yersiniaceae. The record is from RNAcentral.